This 474-nucleotide ribosomal RNA is filed under the name Triticum aestivum (bread wheat). RNAcentral describes it as "partial small subunit ribosomal RNA". The record is from RNAcentral. Lineage: Eukaryota; Viridiplantae; Streptophyta; Magnoliopsida; Poales; Poaceae.
AUGGAGCUGCUGACCGAUGCCCCAGCGCACCACUUCGUGCCGGACAAGUACGUCUUCCCGCCGGAGAAGCGCCCUGACCUGUUCCCCGAUGACGACAGCCCCAGUGUUGCCUUCCCCGUCAUCGACAUCCACCCCGACACCCUAUCUGAUGAACGCCGCCGCUGCUCGGUUGCAGCGGAGAUCAUCCAGGCCGGCAAGGAGUUCGGCUUCUUACAGAUGGAGAUCAUCACCAACGGGUUGCUGGCCAGUGUCGAGCACUGUGUGGUAACCAACACCACAGCAGCGAGGCUGUCGGUGGCAACCCUCAUCACUCCCAAGAUGGAGUGCCGCAUCGGCCUGCCGCCGGAGAUGGUGGACGAGGUGACGAAUCCAGCCAAGUACAGGGAGUUCAUGUUCAGUGAGUUCAUGGAGGCAUACGCUGCCGCUGACGCCAGCAGGGAGAGAGUCCUGGAGUCCUUCAAGAUCCACCACUAG